GACGUAGGGCGCGAGCGUUGUCCGGAUUUAUUGGGCGUAAAGAGCUCGUAGGCGGUUCGAUAAGUCGGGUGUGAAAACUCUGGGCUCAACUCAGAGACGCCACCCGAUACUGUUGUGACUUGAGUCCGGUAGGGGAGUAUGGAAUUCCCAGUGUAGCGGUGAAAUGCGCAGAUAUUGGGAGGAACACCAGUGGCGAAGGCGGUACUCUGGGCCGGUAUUGACGCUGAGGCGCGAAAGCUAGGGGAGCAAACGGG
RNAcentral lists this ribosomal RNA (254 nucleotides) under uncultured bacterium. RNAcentral's name for it is "partial 16S ribosomal RNA". It matches the Rfam family "Bacterial small subunit ribosomal RNA", at positions 524 to 776 of the family's 1533-position model. The record is from RNAcentral.